Chelonus insularis is the source of this 273-nucleotide long non-coding RNA. RefSeq lists it as uncharacterized. NCBI's taxonomy places the organism in Eukaryota, Metazoa, Arthropoda, Insecta, Hymenoptera, Braconidae. The transcript is spliced from 3 exons. The record is from RefSeq and is a predicted model, not a curated record.
CAGUAUUGCGGUCAUUGCUGCUGCUAAAAAAGCUAAGAUUGAUAUAAAUAAUUCAGCUUAAGUUGCUGUGAUAGUUAAUUUCUAAGUUUCGUUCAGCAUUGUUGGAGUGCCUUAUUAACUAUUGAUCUCCGUCCAAACUAACCAUCACGUUAUUUGUUCAGUUGUUGGAUCGUUUUUGUUGCUGAUAGUCAUUGUGGCCAUCAGCCAAGGAUACCACGAAAGAUGUUGCAAUAUGCCGUGCAAUCAUAGUGGUGAGAAGCAUUGCCAGUAACA